Equus caballus (horse) is the source of this 2544-nucleotide long non-coding RNA. The record is from Ensembl. NCBI's taxonomy places the organism in Eukaryota, Metazoa, Chordata, Mammalia, Perissodactyla, Equidae.
CUCCUGAAACUGGAGCAGCUUUUGAGAAGAAAUCUGCCCAAUACUGAAAUGAACACCAUCCUCGGGUUGUAAAAUAAGAGAGAUGCUUCCGGAGGCCGGAGACUGAGCCUGUCCUGUUCUGUCCUGCGUCCCUGGCACCUGGAAUAGGGCCCAGCACACAGUAGAUGGAGAAACUGAGGCCCAGAGAGGGGAAGCGAUGUGUCUCAGGUCACAGAAAAAGCUAGCGACAGACAAUGGACUCAAACCCACGGCACCGUCUGGGCUUUUGCCUCUCUUCUCGGCCCGUCCUUCUGUCCCGCCCACCCUUCCCUCCCACGGGCCUGCAGCCAAUCUUUCCCAAGUGCCACUUUGGGCCAGCCUGGUGCCCUGGGCCCUGGGCUUCCUGCCCUGGAAGCUCAGGCUGCCUGAGGCUAUGUCAUUGCCACUUCCUCCUGUCAGACCUCCAGAGCUGCCUGCCCCUCCUCCCCACACCCUGUCCCGGCCACAGACUCUGCUACUCGUUUAAAAAUCCUGAUGCCCAGGUUGCUCCCCAGACCAAUGAGAUCAGAAUGUCUGGCAGGGGCGGUGGGGGGGGGGGGGGGGUGGUCCAGGCAUCAGGGUUUUUUUUUUAAGAUGUCUGGGUGAUUCCAUUUGUAGCAAAGUUUCGAAACCUCUGUUUUAGCCUUGAUAAAUGGCACCUCCACCUCCUGUUCCUUGGCCCCUAGGCUGCAGAUAUUCUUUCUCGGGAUCUACUUUCUGGAUGCCUGGGCCUGGGCCCCAGGACAGUUCUCAGCUGGGCAAUCCCAACUCCUUCCUGCUCCUGCCCUUUGCCCAACAGGUCUCCGGUCUGCCGAGACUGCCUGUUCUGAUCUGCCUCACCACUGCCAGGAACUCACUAAAUAUUUGUUGUUAAUGAUGUUGAUAAAUAUUUGCUGUUAAUGACCUCAGUCUGACCAAGAGGAUCCUUGAUGUAGAAGAAAGAAAAGGGCUUUUUUUUGGUCUUCUAUGUGGGACGCUGCCACAGCAUGGCUUGAUGAGUGAUGCGUAUGUCCGCGCCCAGGACCUGAACUGGGGAAGCCCAGGCUGCGGAAGCAGAGCACAUGAACUUAACCUUUUGGCCGUGGGGCGGGCCCCAAGAAAAGGGCUUUGAGGUGAGGCAAACUUGGACUCUAGUACCAGCCAGUUCUGCUUUCUGUGUCUGGGUCUCAGUUUACUCAGCUGUGAAGGGAGGUGGAGCAGAGGGAAAAAUGCCUACCUUGUAGUUUGUUAUCAGGAUCAAAGAUACUAUCUAAUAUUUGUACAGGGCCAGCAGCUUGUGACCGGUUCCUCUGGCAACAGGCUGCUCUUGCCCAGGUGGUGGGGAAUGGCGACUGUUUCCAUGGGGAGGAAGUAAAACCUCAGGAAGGAAGGUGGCUGUGAGCCUUCCGAAAAGGACCCUGCCCAAGGGGGCUUCCUCCCAGGGCAGGACAACUGCAGCAGAGAGGUGAAAGGAGGGUGCGGAAGUGGAGGGGUGGGGGUCAUAUGGGACUGGCUAGAGAGUGCCACCACCUUGCCUGGGAGUGCCACGUGCAGUCCCUGCUGGGGAGUUCUCUUGGGAACCCACAAAAGUGCCCCAAGAGGACAGAAUCAGCAUUUGGGUACCUGCUGUGCCCAGAGGCACCGAUGCCCCGUUGCAACCACACCAGACAAAGAACACAUUUGCUACCUCUAUCUCAUCCUCUGAGCUAUCAGGAAGGAGAAACUUUAGACUGAAAAGGACACGAAAAUUUUGAUCGCAAACCAGACCAUACUUUUUAAGAGACCUAGAAAGUGAGACUGUGCUUGUCCACCUGAGAGGGAAAAGCUACAGGAGCAUCUCAAGCAGGAGCAAGAGUCUCCAGAGAAGUUAAAGGGGCUCUGGCUGGAAGGAGUCCUGGGGCCACCUGUGCCACGCCGAAUCGGCUCGGUCCAUGACUGGUUCCCCUGGGACUUGUCUUAUGAAGCCAGUCUGGGCUAGACAUUGAUGGGACUGCUGCCAAACGCCAAACGCCAAACGCUGUGUGGCCUUAGCAGGCCCUUUAUUUCUCUGAGCCUCAGUUUCUCUAGCUGUGAAAUGCCUCUGUUUUCAAAGAGCCUUGCCUGACUGUGCCAGUCUGUAGAAAGAUCUGAGAUCUCUCAGUUCCAAGCAGGAAAAUUAAAUGUGUCCUGAGCCCAGAGUCUGAAGCAAACUCUGGAGGACCUCAGGAAGCCAGGCAGGCGAAUCUGAAAUCAAGCGGCAAGCUGAAAAAUGAUCUCCUCUGUAUAGUGAGGAAAUAAAAAUGAUAUUAAAUUUGCUGUUUAAAAGAUGUUGACUGCAAUGUUAUUUUUAACAGUUUUAUUGAGACAUAAUUUAUAUACCAUAAAAUUUACCUCUUUGAAGUGUGUAAUUCAAUGACUCAGUGAGUUUACAGAGUUGUGCAACCAUCACCACAAUCUAAUUUUAGAAUUAGAUUCUGACUCGGAUGAUUCAAUCAUCCCAGAGAGAUGUCUCAGGCCUAUUCCCACCCCCAGCUCUGGCAACCACUAAUCUGUUUUCUGUUCUUACAG